RNAcentral lists this long non-coding RNA (825 nucleotides) under Homo sapiens (human). Its description in RNAcentral is "non-protein coding lnc-AR-1:1". Lineage: Eukaryota; Metazoa; Chordata; Mammalia; Primates; Hominidae. The record is from RNAcentral.
GCAGCAGUAGCUGCAGUUGCAAGUGUCCAGGCUCUGGGCUAGGGCAGUGGUGGCACCAUCUUUUGCCCAGGCAGAUAGGGAGGCCAGGAUUGGGAACUGGAGGAUGCAGUGGACUAUGGGAACAACCUGGAGUCUGAAGAACUGGAGUUUGAGAGUUGCUGCUAAAGCCUGAGCCUGAACCAGACCCCAAAAGGGGAAGCCCUGGUCCUGGAUCAGGAGCCUCUGGCAGCCAGGAUGAGAAAGAGGAGCCAGGACUAUUUGUGGAUGAUCUGGGGUAUGGUAGCAUUGAGGACCCGGAGCUCAAGUAAGGAAGACAGAGGAAGAAGCUGAAAAGCUUCAGGAGCUACAGAAUGAAGUAGACAAGCAGAUGAAUAUAAGUCUACCUCUAGACAAUGCUAGCCCAGUGAUCAUCCAUUGAGGAGAAGAUGAAGGCUGAUGUCGCUUCCAUCUAUGUUGGCAAUGUGAACUAUGAUGCAACAGCAGAAGUGCUGGAAGCACACUUUUAUGGUUGUGGUUCAGUCAACAGCGUUACCAUACUCUUUGGCUAAUUAGAGGCCAUUCCAAGGGGUUUGUAUAUACAGAGUUCUGAAACAAAGAGUCAGAAAGGACUUCCUUGGUCUUUCUAUAUAGAGAAAGAAAGAUCAAGGUGAUCCCCAAAUAAACCAACAGACCAGGCAUCAGUACAACAGACAGGUUUUCCAGGAGUCCUGGUUCCUGGACAACAAACUAUGACAGUUCCAGCUCUCAUUUCUACAGUGGUUUUAGCAAUCGGCCCUGAGGUUGAGCUACAGGGGCCAGGCUAAAAUAAUAUAAUAUUCCCCUUAC